UGAAUCCAUGGUUUUAUGUAAACACUGCCUUCCCUCCUGGUAAUGAUGGGCCAAAGAUUUUAAUGCAGGAGGAGAAAAGACAGUGAAGAGGUGGGAGUAGUGUUUCUGAGCUUACAUAGUGCUAGUCUGAGUCCUUCGGUGUCAGAGAAACCUGAAAAAUAGAGUGUGGGAGUGUUAUCAUGGCAGAGGAGAAAAUGAGAGUUAGGAGAAGCGAAUUGUCACAUUUUGUUUCUUACCCAAACUAUUCCCAGGUGAUUUUGGACAGCUAUGGUGGUGUGUUAUUCAUAUGUAGCUCCUCCACACUCUGUUAAUACAGAGAGGAGAGAAAGAGAGAAACUUCAAGAUCAGUCUGGGUUCUUCUAUAACCAACAGAAACAUGGAAGAGAUGGGGCUUGUGUGUGCAUGUGUAUGUGUGAGAGAGAAAGAUGGUCUCUAAAUACUAUGAAAGAGACUCAUUGAAGCAGAAAGCAACUUAUCACCAGCACUUGCUUGAUGGAGGCUGUGUUAUCAGAGCAUUGCCAGAUUUGAUGUUUGGAAUAAUCUGGGCUGGUGAAGAAUGAUGCAAGUGUACGGAAUGUAAAUACAGAAGUAGAUACUAUCCAAGCUAAGUCUAGAGGGCUCAGAGAGUGGGAAAUUAAGAGGCUUUUCCCUGCCACCUGAUGCCCAGCCUGCCAUAUAAUCAUAGCAAAGUCCUAGUAUGGUUGCUUCCUAUUCUAUAAUGCAAACACAACAAAGAAGAACAAAAGCUUCUCCACUUGCUACAUGUGUUACUUUGGCAAGUAAUUUAACUUCCAUUGAGUCCCAGUUUUCUUAUAAAUGAAAUGGUACUUGUGCUCACAUCGGCAGCACAUAUACUAAAACUGGAAUGAAACAGAGAAGAUUAGCAUGGCCCCUUCACAAGGAUAGUAGGCAAAUUUGGGUAGUGUUCUAUAUAUUUUACUAAAGAUGAAAUGGCAUUGAUAUUAAUAGCAUAUAAGCUUGUUGUUAGGAACAUUAAGUGGGACAUGUCAGAAAUUACUUAGCACAGUGCCUUGAUGAUGGGAGAUAUUUUAUAAACUAUAAUUAUUGUCAGCCAUGUUGCAGAAUAUCAUCAAUGAUCUACAGUUUCAAGAAGCACUGCCUUUACCUGCAAUACUCAUUUGCACCCCACUGUAAAUCCAAAUCACUGAUUCUAGGACCACAACUUGAUACUUUGCAAGUGACUCCUAUUGGGGUUAAGACCAGCAAAGUAGAGCUAGGGAUACAUCUCAGUUGCUAGUGUUUACCUGACAUGCAUUGCAGCACUGGAUUCUCUCUCCAGUUCUGUAAAACUAAAAGAAAUGUAAGGGAAAUUAAAAGACUCAAGAGAAAAUGAAGGUUAGAUGUAGACACUAAUUUCUAUGCCAAGAAAAUUGUCUCCAUCUUAAUUAGAGCUAAAAAAUAGUGAUACAUUGGGGGACAUCUAGAAUUCUUGAUAGAAUGGAAGCCUUAAGUUCUAGCUCCAUAAGAAUAACCAAAUCAUUCCUUCCUGUUCUUCAUAUGUUGAGAAUGUCAACUAGAACCAUUAGAACAAUUAGAUUUCACCAUCUAUGGAGUCUACACGUAGCCAAUAGUAUUUCUUUCUGCUGCCCCAAAUAACAGGCUCUACAGUGAUGUAUUGAAAACCUACCACAUACCAGGUACUAAACCGAGUGAGUGAUCUCACUCACCUGAGCACAUGAAAUAAUCUUUUAGACAGCAUUGUUAGAUAUAUAGAGAAGAAUACAGAGGCUUGGCAAUUUUAAAGAAUAUGACUAUGUAAACAUAUUCAGUGAGUGGCCAAGCUUGAUUCUGUACCCACAAUGUUGCAGAUCUUUGAACAUUUUCAACAGUUUGUGUUAUAUAUGUUUUACUCAAUAGACAUGGCAAUCAAAUCACAAAACCCCCUAAGAGCUCAAACUGAGAAGUUCCAGGUGAAGUAAAAUGAAGCUGUCCAGCAUAUCUCUUAUCAAUCCAAGGGGAAAGUGGAGUUUGGCUUCUUAAUACAAUUCCUUUGAUAAGAGAAUACCCAAGAGUACAUGGAAAUCUUUGCUGGGCUAAAUAUAAAUAGCACUUUCCUCUGAGCCUGGAUCCAGAUUGGGUUGUUCUCCAGCCAGCUCAAGUUGCAGUAACUGUAACAGCAGGAUACUAGGCUUUGACUUUCUUUGCGAUGUACAUACGUGGGCUAAUCCAUUGAACUUGACCAUUUUUAACACCUGUGGAUGGGUUCUGUUUAUAAGCUCAGCCAUGAGACGUACAGAGAUAAAAUUUAUAUCUCAGCUGGAAGGACAAGGGUACCCCUUGUAGACAGUGCCACUUUCUUGGGUUAGUCUUUCUUUCUAUCUUGAAUUCAUGACUGACCCAGACCUUGUAGAUUAUUUUCUCUGUGUGUGGGUAUGUAUGUAUGUAUGUAUGUAUGUAUGUAUGUAUCUGUGCGUGUGUACACACACACAAAGAUACCCUAGGUAGCAAGCAGACCUUAUGCCUUUCUGCUUUGUACCAUACUAUUGCUGCUAGCUAAAAACCAGCAAAAUGUAGAAAGUGACAAAUGAAGAAACUACUUUUCAGUAGAUAAUUUGAAGAAAAAAGAUGUCUGCUCCUCAUUUAGGGGGAGCAGAGAACUAUUUCAAUAGCUUGCCUUUUCUGAAGGCCAAGUGUUUCGAGUUCCAUGCUGCCUCAGUAGCAGGGUUGAUGGCGCAUGUGGUGCUGCCACCUCUGCCUGAGGAGCUGGCCCAGGUUCAGAUAAUCCCCUGUGAGUAGCCACAGAAGCCUCAGAACUCCCAUGGCUGGGUCACUGCACCCCUGUCAACAAGUUGUAUCCUGUUGAUAGACUGCGACCCCCUGGAGCCUGCAUUCCCUGUGCCAACUCCCAUUUUCAGCAUGUGAAUUUUAGCCAUAGAUUCAUCCCUGAGUUCCCAGCUUGUUGACUGUGUGUCUAUUUCAACUCAUCAAGGUAGAAAUGGGCAGACUGCAAGCCCAUUCUUUGGUCUAAGGAGUGAGGUUUAGAUUCUGGAUAGAAGAUAGCUCUACAAAACAUAGAGCACAGGCUUGGCUUUCUGGCAUUUCUAAUGUUCAGAGGGCAGGAAUGGAACCAUGCACAAUGUACACAUUCAAUUCCUUUUAGAAUGAUAGGUCUCACUCGGUGUACUGCUUAACUACUUAAUAAUCUGGAUUGUGCAUAUCCAGCGAUAAAAUGAAGAACUUUUCACUUACAAGUGGGUGUUUCCAAACAUGUUAGAAUAACCUCCUGAGAGAAGUGCCUGGAACCACUGUUCCUGGUGUCACUUUAAAGCUUUUUGCUUCACGACUCUGUAGCAUUUAAACCUGUUUGCAGCCACAAAUGUGAUUAACAGAAGUUUACAAAGCAACACUGUACCUUAUGCAUUGUCUUAAAUGUCUGUGGACAUUCAUCAAUUGUUCAAGAAAUGAUGACAACCAGUGAGAUAAAAAGAUAGUAAAUAGUUCAGCAUGGCACCUUUGGCUGUUGUUACACUAGUUUCAUUGACAUAUGCCAUGCUUUGUAAUGCCAGGAUUAAAAUAUCAAGCAAGCCACUCAAACAGUGGCAAAGUAUUUAUAUGUGUUUGGUUUCCAUUUGUUUGUUAAGCAGCCAUUUUACUUUCCCAUGGUCAUGAGUUGAAGGGAAAUUAAGAUAACGCUCCCUCCCUACCAAUGCUAUUCAACUACCUCUAUAUGCCUGAUUUCUUUAAAAGGGUUCCCUUCUUCUAAAUCUGCACAAAAUAGUUUCAGCUCAUCUACAUUGUAAUCGCAGUCUCUGUGAAAAAAUUUUCAUUCAUUAAACACAAAUUUUCUGUU
Non-coding RNA from Arvicanthis niloticus (Nile rat), 3811 nucleotides. Lineage: Eukaryota; Metazoa; Chordata; Mammalia; Rodentia; Muridae. The record is from RefSeq and is a predicted model, not a curated record.